UCAAUUGAUGACAAGGUUGGUAGACAUAUUAAAAUGAUCGACAAUGUCUAUAAUCCUGCAGCCAUUGCUGUUGAUUGGGUGUACAAGACCAUCUACUGGACUGAUGCGGCUUCUAAGACUAUUUCAGUAGCUACCCUAGAUGGAACCAAGAGGAAGUUCCUGUUUAACUCUGACUUGCGAGAGCCUGCCUCCAUAGCUGUGGACCCACUGUCUGGCUUUGUUUACUGGUCAGACUGGGGUGAACCAGCUAAAAUAGAAAAAGCAGGAAUGAAUGGAUUCGAUAGACGUCCACUGGUGACAGCGGAUAUCCAGUGGCCUAACGGAAUUACACUUGGUAUGUAUGUUCUUCCUUCUCGACCACCCACUCAACUGUGUUUCCAUUUAUCUCCAUGGUGAAUUCUGGACUAGCAGAUGACUCUACUGCUUCCGCCUAAAUUCUAGCAGGAAUUUUCAAUGGGAGUAACUGAACAACACAAGUAAAAUGGUGGAUUAACAAAUUAC
Molecule: small RNA, 501 nt
Filed under: Pan troglodytes (chimpanzee)
Lineage: Eukaryota; Metazoa; Chordata; Mammalia; Primates; Hominidae
Description: processed transcript
Source: RNAcentral